GAUGAACGCUGGCGGCGUGCCUAAUACAUGCAAGUCGAGCGAACAGACGAGGAGCUUGCUCCUCUGACGUUAGCGGCGGACGGGUGAGUAACACGUGGAUAACCUACCUAUAAGACUGGGAUAACUUCGGGAAACCGGAGCUAAUACCGGAUAAUAUAUUGAACCGCAUGGUUCAAUAGUGAAAGACGGUUUUGCUGUCACUUAUAGAUGGAUCCGCGCCGCAUUAGCUAGUUGGUAAGGUAACGGCUUACCAAGGCGACGAUGCGUAGCCGACCUGAGAGGGUGAACCGGCACACUGGAACUGAGAAAACGGUCAGAAUCCUAAGGGGAGGAGGAGGAGGGAAACCUUCGGAAUGGGGGGAAACCCGAACGAGCCACGGCGCGUGAGGGAAGAAGGGCUUCGGGUCGGAAAAACUUGGUUUUAGGGAAAAACAAAUGGGUAAGUUAACAUGCACGUCUUGAACGGACCUAAUCAGAAAGGCACGGCUAACUACGUG
RNAcentral lists this ribosomal RNA (497 nucleotides) under uncultured bacterium. RNAcentral's name for it is "partial 16S ribosomal RNA". It matches the Rfam family "Bacterial small subunit ribosomal RNA", at positions 28 to 507 of the family's 1533-position model. The record is from RNAcentral.